This 497-nucleotide ribosomal RNA is filed under the name uncultured bacterium. RNAcentral's name for it is "partial 16S ribosomal RNA". It matches the Rfam family "Bacterial small subunit ribosomal RNA", at positions 28 to 508 of the family's 1533-position model. The record is from RNAcentral.
GAUGAACGCUGGCGGCGUGCCUAAUACAUGCAAGUCGAGCGAACGGACGAGAAGCUUGCUUCUCUGAUGUUAGCGGCGGACGGGUGAGUAACACGUGGAUAACCUACCUAUAAGACUGGGAUAACUUCGGGAAACCGGAGCUAAUACCGGAUAAUAUUUUGAACCGCAUGGUUCAAAAGUGAAAGACGGUCUUGCUGUCACUUAUAGAUGGAUCCGCGCUGCAUUAGCUAGUUGGUAAGGUAACGGCUUACCAAGGCAACGAUGCAUAGCCGACCUGAGAGGGUGGCUUGCGAGCGUGGAGGUGAGACACGUUCCUCACCCGGAAGGGAGGACGCCGUAGGUAAUAUUCCAAAAGGGGUGAAUGCCUGACGGCGGGACACGGAGAGAGAGAUGAAGGUGAUGCAAUAUGAAACUUAUGUAAUGAGGGAAGACAUUAUGUGUAAGAAAUUACGCCAAUAUUGGAGGUACCAAAUAAAAACACCACGGCAAAUUCCGGC